AACGCACAUUGCGCCCCUUGGUAUUCCGGGGGGCAUGCCUGUUCGAGCGUCAUUUCAACCCUCAAGCUCUGCUUGGUAUUGGGCCUUCGCCGGGCGACCGGCGGGCCUUAAAGUCAGUGGCGGCGCCGUUGGGUCCUGAACGUAGUAACAUACCUCUCGUUACAGGGUCCCCGCGUGCUUCUGCCAUUAAACCCCAAACUUUUUAUGGUUGACCUCGGAUCAGGUAGGGAUACCCGCUGAACUUAA
Molecule: unclassified non-coding RNA, 246 nt
Filed under: uncultured Rutstroemiaceae
Lineage: Eukaryota; Fungi; Ascomycota; Leotiomycetes; Helotiales; Rutstroemiaceae
Description: sequence contains ITS2
Source: RNAcentral